GACGAACGCUGGCGGCGCGCCUAACACAUGCAAGUCGAACGAGCGAGAGAGAGCUUGCUUUCUCGAGCGAGUGGCGAACGGGUGAGUAACGCGUGAGGAACCUGCCUCAAAGAGGGGGACAACAGUUGGAAACGACUGCUAAUACCGCAUAAGCCCACGACCCGGCAUCGGGUUGAGGGAAAAGGAGCAAUCCGCUUUGAGAUGGCCUCGCGUCCAAUUAGGUAGAUGGUGAGGUAACGGCCCACCAUGCCGACGAUUGGUAGCCGGACUGAGAGGUUGAACGGCCACAUUGGGACUGAGACACGGCCCAG
RNAcentral lists this ribosomal RNA (311 nucleotides) under uncultured bacterium. RNAcentral's name for it is "bacterial SSU rRNA". It matches the Rfam family "Bacterial small subunit ribosomal RNA", at positions 28 to 334 of the family's 1533-position model. The record is from RNAcentral.